GACGAACGCUGGCGGCGUGCUUAACACAUGCAAGUCGAACGAUGAAGAAGAGAAACGCGAACUUCGGUUCAAAUUUCACUUCGGAUUAGUGGCAGACGGGUGAGUAACGCGUGAGCAACCUACCUCUUACAAAGGGAUAGCCUCGGGAAACCGUGAUUAAUACCAUAUGACACAUUCAUAAGGCAUCUUAAGAAUGUUAAAGCUACGGCGGUAAGAGAUGGGAUCGCGUCCCAUUAGCUAGUUGGUGAGGUAACGGCCCACCAAGGCGACGAUGGGUAACCGGCCUGAGAGGCUGAAUGGUCACAUUGGAACUGAGACACGGUCCAAACUCCUACGGGAGGCAGCAGUGGGGAAUAUUGCACAAUGGAGGGAACUCUGAUGCAGCGACGCCGCGUGAGCGAUGAAGGAAUUCGUUUCGUAAAGCUCUGUUCUAUGGGAAGAAAAGGACUGUACCAUAGGAGAAAGCCCCGGCUAAAUACGUG
RNAcentral lists this ribosomal RNA (482 nucleotides) under uncultured bacterium. Its description in RNAcentral is "partial 16S ribosomal RNA". It matches the Rfam family "Bacterial small subunit ribosomal RNA", at positions 28 to 507 of the family's 1533-position model. The record is from RNAcentral.